RNAcentral lists this long non-coding RNA (6471 nucleotides) under Triticum aestivum (bread wheat). Lineage: Eukaryota; Viridiplantae; Streptophyta; Magnoliopsida; Poales; Poaceae. The record is from RNAcentral.
AUUAUUCAUCUCCCAUGACCUCUUAAAAUUCAAGACUCAGGCACAAACAUCCUCAUCUUAGCAGGACAAGCUAAUUCAUUCGCAUGCAGAGCAACAAUAACAAUACUCCAAACAUACCAAGGGACGUCACACUGAAAAAACAAUGCAACCAACGGGUUCUCUCCAGUGGCAAAAUUGACUAUUUUUGAACUUGCACGACAUCUAAACAAGAACUACAUGAUACACAAUUUUCCAUCAUGCACCUCCUAUCCUGAGCAUAAAUGAAAUGAGAGAAGGGUAUCCUGAACAUCUAAACAAGAACUUGCAAUUUUUUCCAUCAUAUGCACCCAGAGAUUCUGCCUUCUCCCCUGGCCCUGAAACAAGAGCACCAUCAGUUUAGUUUUAAACAAAUUGAAAGUUCGAACAUGAGGCAUGUAGUUUUUCAAAUGAUGAAAGUCACAGAACUGAGCUAUUUUUGUUUUACUUCAAAUAAUUCAACAUGAAAAAGACAAAUACAGAUAAAUAUUUUUUUGUGCGAAAUUCUGAAGCAGAUGUCAGUUCGACCUUUUUAAAUACUUUUUUGCACAAGGAGAUGAUGUUAUUGAACUGGCUAGGUACAUUCAGCUUUACCUAGUAUGUUAUUGCCCUGGAACUGCAAUUUGUAUCUUUUACUGCUCAUCUUUAACAUUAAGAAAGUACUAAUCAGUACUAGUAUUUGUGUAAGUCAUACUGAUCAGUACUGCUGCUUGUCGUACUGAUGAGCACUAAAUUUUUCAUCUAGUGGACUGCUCUUGGUUUUCAAGUUGGACUUGAGUACUUUUAAAUGGACUUUUUACAGAGCUCUGAUCAAAAUCUAGAUUCCAAGAAAAAAUGGCCUUCAUGGAUGGCAGUAUGUGAACUGAAGAGUAGGAGAGGAGGAGCACGAAGGUGUUUCUCACCAAUCAUGUUCCUGAUGGCGUGGUGGAUGGAGGCAUGAACUGAUGCUGGUCAUUUUGUUGAACCUCCACCAAAGAACCCCUAUUAAGUCGUAUAGAAGAGAAACCAGAGAUAAGGUUAGUGACAUGGAGCUGGUGCAGUACGGCGACCUCGCCGUAGAUGCAACACCCCAACACACGAGCACCUCACAUAUGUAAGGGAACGGUGCUGGACGUCGUGGUGGUUCUGGACCAGCUCGAGGGCAUGCCUGGCACCAUUGAGGCAGGCCGUGGGGGCUGGCUGGGGGAGGUCAUGGUGGUGGUGACACACGCCAGAGUGAGGAACGGUGACCCACACAAGAAUUUGUAGCAGCUGAGGUGGCAUACGUGCACGGGAGGAGGAAAGCAACCACGUGUGGGGGCGGCGAGCAGUUGUGAUGGUGCGCUUUCCCUCUUGGUUAUUUAUCAAUUACAUAGCUCCAAAAGAAAGGUAACUGAUACAACUACUAGCAAUGUGCUAAAAGAACAUUAGUAUCUAUUAGUUGGGAAUCAUGUGUAUUUGCCUCUCUGUAUUCGAAAUUGCUUCAAUUGAUGGCUCAUUGGAUAACAUGCAUGGUCCUUAUAAUUAUGAAGUUAGCAGCAGUUCUACAUUAGAAUUCCGAGAGAAAUUUCUACAAAAUUCAUUAACCAAAGUGACAGUAUGGUGCUCAUUCUCAAGCACAAUGACAAGUACUUGUUUGUGCUAUAUGAAGGAGAUGGAAACACAAAGGAAAUCAGACUCACCAUUGGGAAGUAGAUGAACUGAAAAGCAUAGAAAAUAUGAACUUGUGCAUCUUGUUUUAACUUCAUCCUACGAAAAAGGAACAAAUAUGGGACAUGAGUUUUUGUCAAGAUGAACUUACCAGGGUUUGGUGUUCGAAUUUUUAAAUGUUUGUGCUACCGGAAAUAGAGAAUAGCAGCAUGCCUCGACCAGAUCGGCGACUUCCUCACGGGCGGCCUCUCGUACACCGCGAGGGCAACACAUACACACACGAACUGACCAGAAUACACAACACGACCGGGUAGAUAAACAAAUUGAUAAGAAUACAUGUCUUCUCGAUUAUGAACUGAUAAGAAUACACAACAUGGACAACUAGCCAUGAACUUCUUGAACUCCCCUGUAGGUUUUUAAUGGUUUUUUGGUGUUCACGUUCUUUACGAAGUCCCUGACUUCUCGACUAUGAACUUACUACAUAGAAGGAUCCUCACAUACAUGUAUAACUUGACAGGAGCUGACAGAAAAUGUUGCAGCAAAAUGGCAUUUUUAUUGAACAUAAUAAUACAACCAUAUCUUGUAAUACAUCCAUCAUGAUGGAAUUAAAUGCACAGUGAAAUGGCAGCAUUACACAUACUCGAGAACUAACAGAUUAUUCUUCAGUUACUCUGAUCAACUUCAGUUUUCUUCAGAAAUUGGAUGAGAAAUAGCAUCGGCUAUGCUAUCAAUUUUUUGCAUCUCUAGCACACUUGUUGGGAGUAUUGUUCAUCACAUGAUGAACCUCUUUUUUUCUGUUUUUCUUGACUGUCAUAGAAUAAAAUAUUGAACUAUCUUGUAUAAGUAUAGUUUUCAUUUUUUUAAAUAAUUGUUCAAUGAACCUCCCCGCCACGUGAGUUUGAACUUAUGAAUUUAUUAGAAAUGAACUUGUGUGAGACUUUUUCUUUGCAUAGUGUACUACCAUUUUUUUGUUUAGUUUGUCAUACAUAGUGAACUGUCAUAUAAUUUUGGGCGAAGUUUUUUAUACCUUUUUAUGUUUGAAAAAUGAACUUUUUUCCUACGCUAUUGUUGUUUUUGCAAGGUCGUCUUACGUUCCAUAUGUACUUGAACUGAUUGAAGUUUGAAGAUUUGAACUUAUGUUUUCUUAAGUAUCGACUAUGCAAAAUAUAUAAAUCCAUUUUUCAUAAGUAUAGACAACGUCAAAGGGAAGAGAGGAAGGGCAGGAGUCAGGGGAGCAAAAGGAAGAUCUAUAGAAAAAUCAAAAGAGAAAUUUUGAUAAGAACAUUACAAGUUUGAAACCAUUCAAGAAUUAAGUUCCUAUGGCUAGUAGCUAUGCAGGAUUUAAGUGAACUCUCAGUAAAAGUAUUUUCGUAUUCCACAUGUAGUAAUACCUGGACUUGCUGUCACAUGUGUUCUUUAUAGUAAAUCGAGGCAAAUGAGAUGGUAAUCCUUCUCUUCAUUUUCUUUUUCUCUAUCCUGCAUCAGUUCAGAAAUCCAAUACAGGUUUCAGUUCAAAAGAGAAUUCCAUCCAUGCCUUGACUGACUAGCAGUAAUUAAAUAAUCAAAAUAAGUUUUUGCUAACCAGUUUAUGUCCUCUCAAUCAGUCCAAAUAAUCUAGCAUCUAGUAUCGAUUAAUCAGUUCGACAAAUGAGGUUGUUAACGAGCCCAUUAACGAUAAAAAUGAAAUCAGCUAAUAACUUACUGGCCGAAUCAAAUUUUAGUGCUUUCAAGCAGCAGCAAUAGUCGGACUGAUGGAGACAUCCAUGGGUGAUAUAUAGUUGAACUUGCAUGAUGUGCAAAUAAGAGCAUGACUUCUGUACUUACUACACGAGCAUGACUUCUGUACUUACUAGACAAUACUACGCCAACAAGUAUCAUGCUAUGUGAACUUUUGUGAUGGAUGACCUUUUAGUUUUUAUUAUCAGUACUUGUUGAAAAUAAAUAUCUAAACCACCAGACUUGGGUGUGGGAACCAAAAUUCAGAAGAGCGGCAUCUCAACAGGGAUUACACUAGCAUUGACAUUCUGACAAUAGUGAGGGCUCAAAUGCCAAGUAAUGUACAGUAACUGAAAAGGCAUCAUUUUUCUGACAUUCGGUUCUGAAACUAUGUGGACCUAAGUAACUAUUGGCAGUCAAGAAAUGUACAAGUUGCAUAUAUUUCUGCCUAGUAAAUUAUGCUACCAAGCUUACAAGUCAAAACAAUUUCUUGAACAUGCAGCACAAAUUGCAGGUUGCUCCCAUCUCUGUUCUCCAAAACAAUUAGAGGGGCGGAUGAAAAAGGAAACCUGUAACAAAUAAUUUUCAUUUCCGUAAGCAGAAACAAUCAGGCAAAAUCACUGACUUUCAACAAGAAAUGUGUAAUAGGUGUUUUUUUUCAAACACCUGCACACCAAAAUUACUGCAGUUUCAACAUGUACACUGAAACAUGCACGUUUUAGACAUAGAAGUGCCAUUGGAGGUUUCAGAAGUUUCAUCUAGAGUAGCACAUGUAGUUCUGCAACUAGAAAAAUUAUUUAUAUAGGAAAAGAAAUUUAUUCCGACAAACUGGAUGAGCUAGGAACACAAUAUUUGUCUUUCAGGCAGAAGUACAAACACCCACAGGCAAAAAUGCUAUUAACUUUUCGCUCCCCUGCAUUAAUAUUUGUACACAAAGACUUGUAGUCCCGUCAGGAGCAUUCGUACUCUUUGAAUCUUUUUUUGUUCUCUGUGUUUUUUCAUGUGGAACUCCGCCUAUGUCUUCUAGGCAUAGCCGGUCCCAAGCCGGGUAAAGGAGGAGGGUUGUGAUAGGCUUGGCGAGCCAACGUAAAAACUAGCCAGUCCCAUAGGUAUGAAACCCAUUUGAGCGAGAAUAGUACUAGGAUGGGUGACCUCCUAGGAAGUCCUCGUGAAAGGGUUUCAUAUCUAAGGGUUGUGAUAGGCUUGGCGAGCCAACGUAAAAACUAGCCAGUCUUUUGGGUAUGAAACCCAUUUGGGCGAGAGUAGUACUAGGAUGGGUGACCUCCUGGGAAGUCCUCGUGAAAGGGUUUCAUAUCUAGCCUACCCCAACUUGUUUGGGAUAAAAGGUUUCGUAAGUAAGUGUGUUUUUUCAUGUGGUUUCUUAUAUGAACCUUUUCAAAAUCUAAAUUCGUCGUGAUGAUAUCUGCGAACCUUCUGAGACAGUGAUGUUGAACUUGCGCUCGAUUGCAUAUGUAUUUGAAGGAAUUUUUACUAAACACCACAAUCAUCUACUUGUAUUGAUCAUUUACUGCUAUGAACAGUUGGAAGGAAAACAAACCAAUCGAGUGGCAUGAGUUAUGGUGGCCCAUUACGCAUAAAAUUUGAACUUCUUUUUCUACCAAGAGGGUUGGGUCGUGUUUUUUGUUUUGAACUAGCAGUGGUCUUGGUUUUGAUUUUAUCUUGUAGCAGUACAUUAUUUCAGUCAGCUCGAUCUUCAUCAGUACUAGAAUGACUAGACAAGAAGUUUAGAUUUGUAGCAGCACUGCACCAAACUUACAGAUUUUUUCUUCAACUUUUUUAGGUUAUUACAUCAGUACUAGUAUGAUUGGAAAAAUAUUUCAGAUUUGUAGCAGCACACACAUGAAACUUAUAGAAUUUUAUGGAAAUGGACGAGUUCUGAAUUUUCGAACUCUUCCAAUGGUUGCACAUGAACUGAGCAAUAUAGCGACUAACGGUACAUCAUUUUGAUCUGAAAAGCUACUUGACUGAAAAUUGACAUACAUAUCCAAAAGUUCAAAACUACAAGACCCGCCCUAUGUUUUUCUGCUACUACACUAUCAAAACUUUUAUUCAAAACGUCUCUGAAAUUUAAACCUCAAUCUUCCUUCAACUGUAAUUUUCAUUUUGCCCAACAAACUAGAUGCACAGGAGCUAACUAGAUGCACAGGAGCUAACUAGAUGCACAGUAACUAUAAAAGCAGGGCAAUCUUUCUCAUGUGCGCUGCUUGGUGUCCAGCAUGGCAAAACACUAGUAGCAUACCUGGAGUUCCCACCGCGGCCCGAAGCAGAGAUCCAUUUUGGUGUGCUCGCGACAAGAAGCCGCCAACUAGUAUCCUCAAGCUUGGAGGUGACCAGCCAGCGUGGCUGCUAGCCAAGAGCUGCGUGUGUGGUCGCACGAAAAUGGGUCACUCCCAGGGGCAAACGACAGAGAUUGAAGGUUCAGCUAGGGCGCUCAGGGCGGUUCAAGGAGUUGGAGAAAGGCGGUUCAGCUGGCUAGGGAGGGGAACAUGGGUCGGAAGCAAGCAAGCGGAUCCUAGAGGCGGAGGGCCUCAGCGGCGAGGGGAAGAAGCGGAACCUUGUGGCGGCGCGUUGGGUGCUGGAAUUCCACAACCUCCACCAAUGGAAGCAUCAGUCCAAAUAUUCAAGAGUGAGCAGGCCGGAGGCGAAGGUGCAGCAGCUGAAAAUGUGUGAACAAGAGCUUACCACUGUCGCCCACCAGCUCCAUCGGAGAACCAGAGGUAGGGAAGGCGGGUGAGAACCUCGUGGCGCGACAGAAGUAGUAGGGAGGACGGCUAGCGAUGCGUGGUUCCAGGGGUGGACGCAGUACACGGAUCCGGUGGUUGGGGGGCGGCGGGCGGAUCCAGGGGUCGGGCGGCGGCGCUUGGAACCGGAGUUGGGCGGCGGCGCGUGGUUGGGGCCGGCCGUGGGUGCCGGCGCGCGGGCACGGGAGGAAGGAGGGGGUGCGCCGGCAGGGGUGGAAGGAGGCGGCGCGCCCGCGGGGGAGGAAGGAGGAGACACGCCAGCGGGGAGGGAGGAGGCGGCGCGCCGGCGGGAGGGAGGAGGCGGCGCGCUAGCGGGGAGGGAGGAGGCGGCGCAUGCGCGGCGGCGUGC